CCCGCUGAACUUAAGCAUAUCAAUAAGCGGAGGAAAAGAAACUAACAAGGAUUCCCCUAGUAACUGCGAGUGAAGCGGGAAAAGCUCAAAUUUAAAAUCUGAGGGUCUUUGCGGCCUUCCGAGUUGUAAUCUAGAGAAGUGCUAUCCGCGCUGGACCGUGUACAAGUCUCCUGGAACGGAGCGUCAUAGAGGGUGAGAAUCCCGUCUUUGACACGGACUACCAGGGCUUAUGUGAUGCGCUCUCAAAGAGUCGAGUUGUUUGGGAAUGCAGCUCUAAAUGGGUGGUAAAUUCCAUCUAAAGCUAAAUAUUGGCGAGAGACCGAUAGCGAACAAGUACCGUGAGGGAAAGAUGAAAAGAACUUUGGAAAGAGAGUUAAACAGUACGUGAAAUUGUUGAAAGGGAAACGCUUGAAGUCAGUCGCGUUGGCCAGGAAUCAACCUUGCUUUUGCUUGGCGUACUUUCUGGUUAAUGGGUCAGCAUCAAUUUUGACCGGUGGAUAAAGGUCAGGGGAAUGUGGCAUCUUCGGAUGUGUUAUAGCCUCUGGUCGCAUACAUCGGUUGGGAUUGAGGAACUCAGCACGCCGCAAGGCCGGGUUUUUAACCACGUACGUGCUUAGGAUGCUGGCACAAUGGCUUUAAUCGACCCGUCUUGAAACACGG
This 660-nucleotide ribosomal RNA is filed under the name uncultured fungus. RNAcentral describes it as "eukaryotic LSU rRNA". It matches the Rfam family "Eukaryotic large subunit ribosomal RNA", at positions 24 to 664 of the family's 3401-position model. Lineage: Eukaryota; Fungi. The record is from RNAcentral.